RNAcentral lists this long non-coding RNA (427 nucleotides) under Chinchilla lanigera (long-tailed chinchilla). Its description in RNAcentral is "lncRNA (ENSCLAG00000026567.1)". The record is from RNAcentral. Lineage: Eukaryota; Metazoa; Chordata; Mammalia; Rodentia; Chinchillidae.
UUUCAUUACUGCUGUUAUGCAAAGUAUUAUAUACAACCUGCUUAGUCUGAAACUCUUCAUAUGUAAAUAAUAUCAGAAGUUUAAAGUGCUAACAUCUCUUCUAUCAGAGAAAUUACUAGAUCAGUAUGUAUUAGUGCUCCAUCUUGUAUGCAGAAGAGGUAACUGAAAAAUUCUUCAUUGUUCUCACAGGACAUAGCACAUGACAUUUCAUGGUGAAGAUUAGAAAAUUGGAAAAUUUCUCCUUCAGGUUCAGAAACAAAGCCCUGCUAAAUGUGAAGAAAUCUUAUAUUUUUGUUCUAUGAAAUAUUCUGUUGGGGACAUUUUUGCUCAUAUGAAAAGACAGUUAUAGACAAUAUCGUUGCCCUAUGGAACAGUGAAAUGCUACUGAGAAAAGUCUACCUAUAUGUGAGCACUUUUGAAAUGUAAG